GACGAACGCUGGCGGCGUGCUUAACACAUGCAAGUCGAACGGAAAGGCCCUGCUUUUGUGGGGUGCUCGAGUGGCGAACGGGUGAGUAACACGUGAGUAACCUGCCCUUGACUUUGGGAUAACUUCAGGAAACUGGGGCUAAUACCGGAUAGGAGCUCCUGCUGCAUGGUGGGGGUUGGAAAGUUUCGGCGGUUGGGGAUGGACUCGCGGCUGAUCAGCUUGUUGGUGGGGUAGUGGCUUACCAAGGCUUUGACGGGUAGCCGGCCGGCGUGGGUGACCGGCCAGAUGGGGUCGGAGUGACGCCCGGAACACCUACGGGAGGGAGGAGGGGGUAGUGAUUAACAGAGGGCGGGAGCCAGAUGCAUCAACCCCGGCUGCGUGAGGGCGGCCGUCGGGUUGGAAACCACUUUCGCUUAUGAGGGAGGAUAAGGGCCGGAAAGGGGUAAAAAGGCCCCGCCAAAUCAGUG
RNAcentral lists this ribosomal RNA (467 nucleotides) under uncultured bacterium. Its description in RNAcentral is "partial 16S ribosomal RNA". It matches the Rfam family "Bacterial small subunit ribosomal RNA", at positions 28 to 507 of the family's 1533-position model. The record is from RNAcentral.